AUGAGAAUCUAACGCCUGAUGACCUAUCACUGUCUCCCAUCACUCCCAGAUGGGACCGUCUAGUUGCAGGAAAACAAGCUCAGGGCUCCCACUGAUUCUACAUUAUGAUCAACUGCAUGGGGUCCUACAGGAGAAGACCAAGAGACAGAGACAGAGACCAGGGAAAAUGACCGAUACCAUUCCUUCUCAGGGAUGCUACACACCCAUGGGGCAGAGGAUAAGAGGUUCCUGAAGGCAUCACCCCUCUGGCCAUGGCUGGUGUGCAGACAAAGCUGGAGAUUUGGAGUAGCCUGUUGUCCCACUGACUCUUAGACUGCCCCAGCUAAGAAGAACCAACUCCUCCUAUUACAGAUGAAAUAAACAAAGCUACUCAAGCUCUCUGGCAUCGCCCUGACGGUCAUCAUGUGCUUCACAUUUCCCUCCUGCCCCCCCUGAUUUUCUGGAAAAGGGAGAAAGUGUGUGAAAAAAAAUGGACAAUAACUUCUGUUAACUUUGUAGAUGUCUGGUUCCUCCAUAUGAGGCUGUGCUUGAAUCAAUUUUGGAGAGAGGGUUUCUAAAGUCUCUCUAGAUUCUAUUAAUUUUGAUAGAGACAAUAAAAGGCAGCAGGACCA
Molecule: long non-coding RNA, 611 nt
Filed under: Homo sapiens (human)
Lineage: Eukaryota; Metazoa; Chordata; Mammalia; Primates; Hominidae
Description: non-protein coding lnc-AKR1B1-1:7
Source: RNAcentral